RNAcentral lists this long non-coding RNA (661 nucleotides) under Drosophila guanche. The record is from RNAcentral. Lineage: Eukaryota; Metazoa; Arthropoda; Insecta; Diptera; Drosophilidae.
UUGUAGCUGGGGGGUGGCUCUCGCCAGGAAGCAGGAAGCCAGGAGGUGGGUCAGGUAACGGUAAACCAGGAGCUUGCCUGGCAAUCAAACAAACGCUGCCUCCCUCCCACACCCAUGCCGAGAUGCAGCUCCACGUUGAAUGAAAGUUCGUCCUGUGCCGAGAUUGUAGUUUGUAUUCAAUCAAAAGUUUCAAUUUUUCUGUGGCGCUCAUAAAAUGUUGGCCACCGACCCACCAUCCGCCCAUCUCCAGCUGGCGGGCUGACCUCUUGCCAGCCAACGGCAGAGACUGGAACUGGAGCUCCGGUUCCAGAUUCCGGUGCCAAACUAUGCGUAGUAUUGCUUUAAUGACGCUCUGCCACUGGCCAAAGGGUUUCUCUAAGCCUGCCUCCCAAGUGUUCUAUUUUCUAUAGAUUUUGUUUCUUAUUUUUUGGUUCGUGGCAAACUUUAAUUUGGAAACUAUGCGAAAGGUCCGCAGCCAGACAGACAGACGACGUCGUUUCCUUGGAUGUGGACGCGUGUGGGGCACAGAGUUGAAGAAGCCAAGAAGAAUUUAAUUUGUUUGUAAUUUUGUGUAGACGAGUGAAGCACAGCUACAGAGAAAAUAUAGAUGGAAAAGUAGCACAGGAAAAAUAAAGAUGAAAAAGUAUGCGAGUGGUGCAGG